This 427-nucleotide ribosomal RNA is filed under the name uncultured bacterium. RNAcentral's name for it is "bacterial SSU rRNA". It matches the Rfam family "Bacterial small subunit ribosomal RNA", at positions 355 to 774 of the family's 1533-position model. The record is from RNAcentral.
UGGGGAAUUUUGGACAAUGGGCGAAAGCCUGAUCCAGCAAUGCCGCGUGAGUGAAGAAGGCCUUCGGGUUGUAAAGCUCUUUCGGUGGGGAAGAAAUUGCUUCGAUUAAUACUCGGAGUAGAUGACGGUACCCGCAUAAGAAGCACCGGCUAACUACGUGCCAGCAGCCGCGGUAAUACGUAGGGUGCGAGCGUUAAUCGGAAUUACUGGGCGUAAAGCGUGCGCAGGCGGUUGUGUAAGUCAGAUGUGAAAUCCCCGGGCUCAACCUGGGAACUGCAUUUGAGACUGCACGGCUAGAGUGUAGCAGAGGGGGGUAGAAUUCCACGUGUAGCAGUGAAAUGCGUAGAGAUGUGGAGGAAUACCGAUGGCGAAGGCAGCCCCCUGGGUUACUACUGACGCUCAUGCACGAAAGCGUGGGGAGCAAACA